Molecule: ribosomal RNA, 229 nt
Filed under: uncultured bacterium
Lineage: Bacteria
Description: partial 16S ribosomal RNA
Rfam family: Bacterial small subunit ribosomal RNA
Source: RNAcentral
UGGGCAACCUGCCCCAGACACAGGGAUAACCCCGGGAAACCGGGGCUAAUACCGGAUACUCCGGUCGAACCGCAUGGCUCGAUCGGGAAAGCUCCGACGGUCUGGGAUGGGCCUGCGGCCUAUCAGCUUGUUGGUGGGGUAACGGCCUACCAAGGCGACGACGGGUAGCUGGUCUGAGAGGACGACCAGCCACACUGGAACUGAGAUACGGCCCAGACUCCUACGGGAG